GACGAACGCUGGCGGCGUGCCUAAUACAUGCAAGUCGAACGCAUUUUCUUUCACCGUAGCUUGCUACACCGACAGAAACUGAGUGGCGAACGGGUGAGUAACACGUGGGUAACCUGCCCAUCAUCGGGGGAUAACACUUGGAAACAUGUGCUAAUACCGCAUAAUUCCAUUUACUGCAUGGUAGAUGGAUGAAAGGCGCUUUUGCGUCACUGAUGGAUGGACCCGCGGUGCAUUAGCUAGUUGGUGGGGUAACGGCCUACCAAGGCUGCGAUGCAUAGCCGACCUGAGAGGGUGAUCGGCCACACUGGGACUGAGACACGGCCCAGACUCCUACGGGAGGCAGCAGUAGGGAAUCUUCGGCAAUGGACGCAAGUCUGACCGAGAAACGCCGCGUGAGUGAAGAAGGUUUUCGGAUCGUAAAACUCGGUUGUUAGAAAAGAACAAGGAUGAGAGUGGAAAGUUCAUCCCUUGACGGUAUCUAACCAGAAAGCCACGGCUAACUACGUG
Molecule: ribosomal RNA, 507 nt
Filed under: uncultured bacterium
Lineage: Bacteria
Description: partial 16S ribosomal RNA
Rfam family: Bacterial small subunit ribosomal RNA
Source: RNAcentral